UUAAGCGACUAAGCGUACACGGUGGAUGCCUAGGCAGUCAGAGGCGAUGAAGGGCGUGCUAAUCUGCGAAAAGCGUCGGUAAGGUGAUAUGAACCGUUACAACCGACGAUACCCGAAUGGGGAAACCCAGUGCAAUUCGUUGCACUAUUGCAUGGUGAAUACAUAGCCAUGCAAGGCGAACCGGGGGAACUGAAACAUCUAAGUACCCCGAGGAAAAGAAAUCAACCGAGAUUCCCCCAGUAGCGGCGAGCGAACGGGGAGGAGCCCAGAACCUGAAUCAGCGUAUGUGUUAGUGGAAGCGUCUGGAAAGUCGCACGGUACAGGGUGAUAGUCCCGUACACAAAAAUGCAUAUGUUGUGAGUUCGAUGAGUAGGGCGGGACACGUGACAUCCUGUCUGAAUAUGGGGGGACCAUCCUCCAAGGCUAAAUACUCCUGACUGACCGAUAGUGAACCAGUACCGUGAGGGAAAGGCGAAAAGAACCCCGGCGAGGGGAGUGAAAUAGAACCUGAAACCGUGUACGUACAAGCAGUGGGAGCACCUUCGUGGUGUGACUGCGUACCUUUUGUAUAAUGGGUCAGCGACUUAUAUUUUGUAGCAAGGUUAACCGAAUAGGGGAGCCGUAGGGAAACCGAGUCUUAACUGGGCGAAUAGUUGCAAGGUAUAGACCCGAAACCCGGUGAUCUAGCCAUGGGCAGGUUGAAGGUUGGGUAACACUAACUGGAGGACCGAACCGACUAAUGUUGAAAAAUUAGCGGAUGACUUGUGGCUGGGGGUGAAAGGCCAAUCAAACCGGGAGAUAGCUGGUUCUCCCCGAAAGCUAUUUAGGUAGCGCCUCGUGAACUCAUCUUCGGGGGUAGAGCACUGUUUCGGCUAGGGGGUCAUCCCGACUUACCAAACCGAUGCAAACUCCGAAUACCGAAGAAUGUUAUCACGGGAGACACACGGCGGGUGCUAACGUCCGUCGUGAAGAGGGAAACAACCCAGACCGCCAGCUAAGGUCCCAAAGUCAUGGUUAAGUGGGAAACGAUGUGGGAAGGCAUAGACAGCCAGGAUGUUGGCUUAGAAGCAGCCAUCAUUUAAAGAAAGCGUAAUAGCUCACUGGUCGAGUCGGCCUGCGCGGAAGAUGUAACGGGGCUAAACCAUGCACCGAAGCUGCGGCAGCGACACUUAGGUGUUGUUGGGUAGGGGAGCGUUCUGUAAGCCGUUGAAGGUGACCUGUGAGGGUUGCUGGAGGUAUCAGAAGUGCGAAUGCUGACAUAAGUAACGAUAAUGCGGGUGAAAAACCCGCACGCCGGAAGACCAAGGGUUCCUGUCCAACGUUAAUCGGGGCAGGGUGAGUCGACCCCUAAGGCGAGGCUGAAAAGCGUAGUCGAUGGGAAACAGGUUAAUAUUCCUGUACUUGGUGUUACUGCGAAGGGGGGACGGAGAAGGCUAGGCUAGCCGGGCGACGGUUGUCCCGGUUUAAGCAUGUAGGCGGAGUGACUUGGUAAAUCCGGUUGCUUAUCAACGCUGAGGUGUGAUGACGAGUCACUACGGUGAUGAAGUAGUUGAUGCCAAGCUUCCAGGAAAAGCCUCUAAGCAUCAGGUAACAUUAAAUCGUACCCCAAACCGACACAGGUGGUCAGGUAGAGAAUACUCAGGCGCUUGAGAGAACUCGGGUGAAGGAACUAGGCAAAAUGGUGCCGUAACUUCGGGAGAAGGCACGCUGGCAUUAGGUAAAGAGACUUGCUCUCGGCGCCGAAGCCAGUCGCAGAUACCAGCUGGCUGCAACUGUUUAAUAAAAACACAGCACUGUGCAAACACGAAAGUGGACGUAUACGGUGUGACGCCUGCCCGGUGCUGGAAGGUUAAUUGAUGGGGUCAGCCGCAAGGCGAAGCUCUUGAUCGAAGCCCCAGUAAACGGCGGCCGUAACUAUAACGGUCCUAAGGUAGCGAAAUUCCUUGUCGGGUAAGUUCCGACCUGCACGAAUGGCGUAAUGAUGGCCAGGCUGUCUCCACCCGAGACUCAGUGAAAUUGAACUCGCUGUGAAGAUGCAGUGUACCCGCGGCAAGACGGAAAGACCCCGUGAACCUUUACUAUAGCUUGACACUGAACAUUGAGCCUUGAUGUGUAGGAUAGGUGGGAGGCAUUGAAGUGUGGACGCCAGUCUGCAUGGAGCCAACCUUGAAAUACCACCCUUUAAUGUUUGAUGUUCUAACUCGGCCCCAUAAUCUGGGGUGAGGACAGUGUCUGGUGGGUAGUUUGACUGGGGCGGUCUCCUCCCAAAGAGUAACGGAGGAGCACGAAGGUUAGCUAAUCACGGUCGGACAUCGUGAGGUUAGUGCAAAGGCAUAAGCUAGCUUGACUGCGAGAGUGACGGCUCGAGCAGGUACGAAAGUAGGUCUUAGUGAUCCGGUGGUUCUGAAUGGAAGGGCCAUCGCUCAACGGAUAAAAGGUACUCCGGGGAUAACAGGCUGAUACCGCCCAAGAGUUCAUAUCGACGGCGGUGUUUGGCACCUCGAUGUCGGCUCAUCACAUCCUGGGGCUGAAGUAGGUCCCAAGGGUAUGGCUGUUCGCCAUUUAAAGUGGUACGCGAGCUGGGUUUAGAACGUCGUGAGACAGUUCGGUCCCUAUCUGCCGUGGGCGUUGGAAGAUUGAGAGGGGCUGCUCCUAGUACGAGAGGACCGGAGUGGACGAAUCACUGGUGUUCGGGUUGUCAUGCCAAUGGCAUUGCCCGGUAGCUAAAUUCGGAAGAGAUAACCGCUGAAAGCAUCUAAGCGGGAAACUUGCCUCGAGAUGAGUCUUCCCUGGGGCUUUAAGCCCCCUGAAGGAACGUUAAAGACUAUGACGUUGAUAGGCUGGGUGUGUAAGUGCAGCGAUGCAUUGAGCUAACCAGUACUAAUGAUCCGUGAGGCUUAACCUU
This 2905-nucleotide ribosomal RNA is filed under the name Yersinia enterocolitica. Its description in RNAcentral is "bacterial LSU rRNA". It matches the Rfam family "Bacterial large subunit ribosomal RNA". The record is from RNAcentral. Lineage: Bacteria; Pseudomonadati; Pseudomonadota; Gammaproteobacteria; Enterobacterales; Yersiniaceae.